Molecule: ribosomal RNA, 253 nt
Filed under: uncultured bacterium
Lineage: Bacteria
Description: partial 16S ribosomal RNA
Rfam family: Bacterial small subunit ribosomal RNA
Source: RNAcentral
UACGGAGGGGGCGAGCGUUAUUCGGAAUUAUUGGGCGUAAAGGGUGCGUAGGCGGCUUUGUAAGUCAGUGGUGAAAUACUCUAGCUUAACUAGAGGGGUGCCAUUGAUACUGCGGAGCUUGAGUACAGAUGAGGUAGGCGGAAUUGACGGUGUAGCGGUGAAAUGCAUAGAUAUCGUCAAGAACACCGAUAGCGAAGGCAGCUUACUGGGCUGUAACUGACGCUGAGGCACGAAAGUGUGGGGAUCAAACAGG